RNAcentral lists this ribosomal RNA (244 nucleotides) under uncultured Lactobacillus sp. RNAcentral describes it as "partial 16S ribosomal RNA". It matches the Rfam family "Bacterial small subunit ribosomal RNA", at positions 118 to 354 of the family's 1533-position model. Lineage: Bacteria; Bacillati; Bacillota; Bacilli; Lactobacillales; Lactobacillaceae. The record is from RNAcentral.
UGGGUAACCUGCCCAAGAGAUCGGGAUAACACCUGGAAACAGAUGCUAAUACCGGAUAACAAUAGAUGAUGCCUAUCAACUGUUUAAAAGAUGGUUCUGCUAUCACUCUUGGAUGGACCUGCGGUGCAUUAGCUAGUUGGUAGGGUAACGGCCUACCAAGGCGAUGAUGCGUAGCCGAGUUGAGAGACUGAUCGGCCACAUUGGGACUGAGACACGGCCCAAACUCCUACGGGAGGCAGCAGGU